AUACAUGCAAGUCGAGCGGACAGAAGGGAGCUUGCUCCCGGAUGUUAGCGGCGGACGGGUGAGUAACACGUGGGUAACCUGCCUGUAAGACUGGGAUAACUCCGGGAAACCGGAGCUAAUACCGGAUAGUUCCUUGAACCGCAUGGUUCAAGGAUGAAAGACGGUUUCGGCUGUCACUUACAGAUGGACCCGCGGCGCAUUAGCUAGUUGGUGGGGUAAUGGCUCACCAAGGCGACGAUGCGUAGCCGACCUGAGAGGGUGAUCGGCCACACUGGGACUGAGACACGGCCCAGACUCCUACGGGAGGCAGCAGUAGGGAAUCUUCCGCAAUGGACGAAAGUCUGACGGAGCAACGCCGCGUGAGUGAUGAAGGUUUUCGGAUCGUAAAGCUCUGUUGUUAGGGAAGAACAAGUGCGAGAGUAACUGCUCGCACCUUGACGGUACCUAACCAGAAAGCCACGGCUAACUACGUGCCAGCAGCCGCGGUAAUACGUAGGUGGCAAGCGUUGUCCGGAAUUAUUGGGCGUAAAGGGCUCGCAGGCGGUUUCUUAAGUCUGAUGUGAAAGCCCCCGGCUCAACCGGGGAGGGUCAUUGGAAACUGGGAAACUUGAGUGCAGAAGAGGAGAGUGGAAUUCCACGUGUAGCGGUGAAAUGCGUAGAGAUGUGGAGGAACACCAGUGGCGAAGGCGACUCUCUGGUCUGUAACUGACGCUGAGGAGCG
Molecule: ribosomal RNA, 721 nt
Filed under: Bacillus pumilus
Lineage: Bacteria; Bacillati; Bacillota; Bacilli; Caryophanales; Bacillaceae
Description: bacterial SSU rRNA
Rfam family: Bacterial small subunit ribosomal RNA
Source: RNAcentral